ACUCCUACGGGAGGCAGCAGUGGGGAAUAUUGGACAAUGGGCGCAAGCCUGAUCCAGCCAUGCCGCGUGUGUGAAGAAGGCCCUCGGGUUGUAAAGCACUUUCAGUGAGGAAGAAAGCUUGUCGGUUAAUACCCGGCAAGGACGACAUCACUCACAGAAGAAGCACCGGCUAACUCCGUGCCAGCAGCCGCGGUAAUACGGAGGGUGCGAGCGUUAAUCGGAAUUACUGGGCGUAAAGCGUGCGUAGGCGGCUUGGUAAGCCGGUUGUGAAAGCCCCGGGCUCAACCUGGGAACGGCAUCCGGAACUGUCAGGCUAGAGUGCAGGAGAGGAAGGUAGAAUUCCCGGUGUAGCGGUGAAAUGCGUAGAGAUCGGGAGGAAUACCAGUGGCGAAGGCGGCCUUCUGGACUGACACUGACGCUGAGGUACGAAAGCGUGGGUAGCAAACAGGAUCAGAUACCCUGGUAGCGAGUAG
RNAcentral lists this ribosomal RNA (473 nucleotides) under uncultured bacterium. Its description in RNAcentral is "bacterial SSU rRNA". It matches the Rfam family "Bacterial small subunit ribosomal RNA", at positions 335 to 802 of the family's 1533-position model. The record is from RNAcentral.